CCAAGCCGACGAUGCCUAUGGGUUCUAAAAGGAAGGCCCACACACUGGUACUGAGACACGGACCAGACUCCUACGGGAGGCAGCAGUGAGGAAUAUUGGUCAAUGGGUGAGAGCCUGAACCAGCCAUGCCGCGUGCAGGAAGUGCCCUUAGGGUGUUAUAUCUGCUUAGCAGGGGAAGACAAAGGCGUACGUGUACGCCCUUGGCGGUACCCUGUCAACAAGCACCGGCUAACUCCGUGCCAGCAGCCGCGGUAAUACGGAGGGUGCCAGCGUUAUCCGGAUUUAUUAGGUUUAAAGGGUGUGCAGGCGGACUAAACAAGUCGGCUGUGAAACUUACGGGCUCAACCCGUGGCUUGCGGUCGAAACUGUUGGUCUUGAGUGAAGAUGCUGCAGGCGGAAUGUGUGGUGUAGCGGUGAAAUGCAUAGAUACCACCCAGAACCCCGAUUGCGAAGGCAGGUUGCAAAACUUCCACUGACGCUGAUGCACGAAAGCGUGGGUAGCGAACAGGAUUAGAUACCCUGGUAGUCCACGCAGUAAACGAUGACCACUGGCUUUUGGUGAUACACAAUCAGAGGCUGAGCGAAAGCAUUAAGUGGUCCACCUGGGGAUUACGUUCGCAAGAAUGAAACUCAAAGGAAUUGACGGGGGCCCGCACAAGCGGAGGAACAUGUGGUUUAAUUCGAUGAUACGCGAGGAACCUUACCUGGGCUUGAACUGUCAGUGACGCUUGGGGAAACCCAAGUUCCCUUCUGGGCGCUGUCAGAGGUGCUGCAUGGCUGUCGUCAGCUCGUGCCGUGAGGUGUCGGGUUAAGUCCCAUAACGAGC
RNAcentral lists this ribosomal RNA (826 nucleotides) under uncultured organism. RNAcentral describes it as "bacterial SSU rRNA". It matches the Rfam family "Bacterial small subunit ribosomal RNA", at positions 268 to 1097 of the family's 1533-position model. The record is from RNAcentral.